CUUUUUCUUUCAAAAAUAUGUUUCCAACAAGACCUCAUGACAGUGUAAAUUAGCAAAUUUCUGCUGCAUAGAGAUUGUUUCACCUAAACCAAAACGCAGCUAUUUGUUCUUUUGCCAGCCCUCUGCAGGAUGACAGUACCUGUUUGUCCAUGUCUAGCAUGCCUUUCUGUGCUUUAAACAAAAAGCCUUAAAGGGAAGAGGUGACUACUCAAGGAAAGUUGCUGCAAUAGGCGCAUCAGUGAGGAGGAGCACUGAACCUUCAACCUUUAGCUGUAUCUUGUAUGUCUGCGAUGUUCCAGUGCAGCAGAAGGGAUGUGAUGACCUACCAUGCCAGUCUACAGCACCUCUCCAGUCUCCUGUGGCACUUCAACCUACAGGACAAGAGUGACAAUCUAAUGGCUUGUUCUUUCUAGUUUUUGCACAUGGGUCUGUGCAGUAUGCAUCAGUGCUCCCACCACCACCACCCCACCAAAACAAGAACUUCCGAACACUUUAGGAGAUGCAACAGCUCUUCACAACAGAGGCAGGCACAGCCACUGAGGUCACAGUGUACGGAAGAGACCAUAUGGAACAGACUCUUCCAUUCCCCCAUCAUUAGUGCCAGGGGCCUACAGGGGCUUUUAGUCCUGGUCUUCAUGCAGGACCAGGUGAAUAAGGAGGGACCUGUCCUAUCUUCUGCAGCACCAACAAUAUUGUCAGAAGAAGCAGAAGCAGUUGUGGUCCUCCUUGAAGUUACCUAUAGCAGCCUGAUCACACUUUGUGCCCCUUACCAGUGUUCCUCAAAGUGCUCUGCAACCACUGAUAAAGUGUGGCCACAUCUGCUCUGAAGCCAUUUGCCAGUGUAGUGAUGGGGAGAAAGGUUUGGGGUCACUUCUAUAGUGCCAGAGUUUUGAGGCCCAGAUGCUCAGAAGUAUAAGUGACUAAGCAAAAGCUAGAAAUUAAAAUGUCACAGGGCUCUGGGUCCUAAUGCAGACACAGUUAUACUGGUAUUCAAUGUUUUUGCUGAUAAAGCUGAUAGCGCUUGGAAAAGUUCUGCUGGAAAAAGAGCCCUAUUCUGCUGACAUAAGCUGCCUGCACACAAGGAAGGCUCCACUGGUACAACUCUGCUGCUACAGCAAUAUCACACACAUUUACAUGUAAAUUAGGCCUUUGUUUAUAUCGCACAGAUGCAGCCUUUCA
This 1179-nucleotide long non-coding RNA is filed under the name Dromaius novaehollandiae (emu). RNAcentral's name for it is "lncRNA (ENSDNVG00000003112.1)". The record is from RNAcentral. Lineage: Eukaryota; Metazoa; Chordata; Aves; Casuariiformes; Dromaiidae.